AGCUGAUGGAGGAAAAGAUUUGAGAAUAUCCAUUCCCCACUGGGUAAAUGGCCAAGGGGCGCUGAACAGUGUUAAUUACACCGUUGGCUGAUGUUGGAUGGUGGCGUGCCUUUGGCAUUUGUCGCAUUUCUUCACAAACUCAACUACAUCAUUCUGCAAGGUCAGCCAGUAAUAACCUUACCUCAUAACUUUGCAAGCUAGCAUUAUGCCUCCUAGGUGGUUACCAUAGAUGCCUUCAUAAACUUCCCGAAGAGCAUAUUCUGCAUUGGAGGGUUGGAGGCAUCUAAGAAGAGGUAGACUAAAUGACCUCUUAUAGAGCCCUCUGUCCACUGAGAUACAAUUCACUACUUGGUACCUCAGUCUUUAAGCUUCUUUUUUGUACUCAGGUUGCCUUGAGGUACUCAACAAGUGGAUCCAUCCAGCUCGGUUCAUAGUUAGCUUGUAGCACCGAACUUGGCUUUUCAUCAAUGCUAGGCUUCUCUAGCACGUCAAAGUAGGCGGUCUUCUUUAGGUCGAUGCAUUCCGAAGUUGCUAAACUAGAGAGAACAUCGGCUCUGGUUUUCUCCGACCUUGGGAUCUAUUGGACCUCAAAUCUACUGAAGGCCAAGGAGACAUAUUUCACCUUUUGUAGAUAUUUGGCCAUUGCGGGACCUCGCGCCUCACAUUCUCCUCAGACCUAGCCAACAACGAGCUAAGAGUCACUAAAGGCCUUAAG
Molecule: long non-coding RNA, 715 nt
Filed under: Phoenix dactylifera (date palm)
Lineage: Eukaryota; Viridiplantae; Streptophyta; Magnoliopsida; Arecales; Arecaceae
Description: long non-coding RNA (PDAC_LNC006264)
Source: RNAcentral